RNAcentral lists this ribosomal RNA (495 nucleotides) under uncultured bacterium. RNAcentral describes it as "partial 16S ribosomal RNA". It matches the Rfam family "Bacterial small subunit ribosomal RNA", at positions 28 to 507 of the family's 1533-position model. The record is from RNAcentral.
GACGAACGCUGGCGGCGUGCCUAAUACAUGCAAGUAGAACGCUGAAGGAGGAGCUUGCUUCUCUGGAUGAGUUGCGAACGGGUGAGUAACGCGUAGGUAACCUGCCUGGUAGCGGGGGAUAACUAUUGGAAACGAUAGCUAAUACCGCAUAAGAGUAGAUGUUGCAUGACAUUUACUUAAAAGGUGCAAUUGCAUCACUACCAGAUGGACCUGCGUUGUAUUAGCUAGUUGGUGAGGUAACGGCUCACCAAGGCAACGAUACAUAGCCGACCUGAGAGGGUGAUCGGCCACACUGGGACUGAGACACGACCCAGACUCCUACGGGAGGCAGCAGUAGGGAAUCUUCGGCAAUGGACGGAAGUCUGACCGAGCAACGCCGCGUGAGUGAAGAAGGUUUUCGGAUCGUAAAGCUCUGUUGUAAGAGAAGAACGAGUGUGAGAGUGGAAAGUUCACACUGUGACGGUAUCUUACCAGAAAGGGACGGCUAACUACGUG